GUGCUUGUUUCAGCACAUAUACUAAAAUUGGGAUGAUACAGAGAAUAUUAGCAUGGCCCCUGCACAAGGAUGACACACAAAUUCGUGAAGCAUUCCAUCUCUAA
Molecule: small nuclear RNA, 104 nt
Organism: Otolemur garnettii (small-eared galago)
Lineage: Eukaryota; Metazoa; Chordata; Mammalia; Primates; Galagidae
Source: Ensembl